CUGUUACGAGGACUGUACACCCCCUGGUUCCCUGUGUCAGUGCCUUUGAACCUCCUCCCCACUUUUCAGGGGACCUGGGGGCCCUGCCUGCUUCUCCCCUUUUCUGUCCCCUCUCUUCAUGCUGCCAUGUUUCUCUGCUGCCAAAGUGGGCUCCUUAGCCCCAGUUCUGCUUUUGGGGUGGGGGCAGGAUUUCUGUCAUCCCAUACCUUGGAGCCCCAGCCUAGGAACAGUGGACACCAAGUGCCUUUCAUAGAGCCCCAUCUUGCCCACUCAGCUUUCCCAGGGGUGUGGCUACCAUCAUCAGCUCCUGCCUGGACUGGCCUGCAGGUUGCUGAGGUCUAGGCCGGUCCAGGGGGAACCAGUCUCUUCUCACCCCCACGCCUCCCUUGGAACUGACAGAGCCCCCACCAGUUCCUGUCUAGGCAGGGGAAGGCCCAGAGGGAAGAACCUCUUACCCCUUGUGAAGGGAGCAAGGGUCUUUCCUUCAGGACCCACAUUCCAGCUUCUCCAAGGCUGAUGGCUGCUCCUUAUGUCACCCAAGCUGUGACCCCUUCCUUCUGCCUUAAUUACCCCAAGGCCC
RNAcentral lists this long non-coding RNA (580 nucleotides) under Marmota monax (woodchuck). Lineage: Eukaryota; Metazoa; Chordata; Mammalia; Rodentia; Sciuridae. The record is from RNAcentral.